GACAGAGGGUGCAAGCGUUGUUCGGAAUUACUGGGCGUAAAGGGCGUGUAGGCGGUGAUGUGUGUCCCAUGUGAAAGCCCUCGGCUCAACCGGGGAAGUGCAUGGGAAACUACAUUACUUGAGUAUGAGAGAGGAUGGCGGAAUUUCCAGUGUAGAGGUGAAAUUCGUAGAUACUGGAAGGAACACCCGAGGCGAAGGCGGCCAUCUGGCUCAUUACUGACGCUGAGACGCGAAAGCGUGGGGAGCAAACAGG
This 253-nucleotide ribosomal RNA is filed under the name uncultured bacterium. RNAcentral describes it as "partial 16S ribosomal RNA". It matches the Rfam family "Bacterial small subunit ribosomal RNA", at positions 524 to 776 of the family's 1533-position model. The record is from RNAcentral.